Molecule: ribosomal RNA, 1204 nt
Filed under: Brevibacterium sp. HMSC063G07
Lineage: Bacteria; Bacillati; Actinomycetota; Actinomycetes; Micrococcales; Brevibacteriaceae
Description: bacterial SSU rRNA
Rfam family: Bacterial small subunit ribosomal RNA
Source: RNAcentral
GCCCAGACUCCUACGGGAGGCAGCAGUGGGGAAUAUUGCACAAUGGGGGGAACCCUGAUGCAGCGACGCCGCGUGGGGGAUGACGGCCUUCGGGUUGUAAACCUCUUUCAGUAGGGAAGAAGCCUUUGGGUGACGGUACCUGCAGAAGAAGUACCGGCUAACUACGUGCCAGCAGCCGCGGUAAUACGUAGGGUACAAGCGUUGUCCGGAAUUAUUGGGCGUAAAGAGCUCGUAGGUGGUUUGUCGCGUCUGCUGUGGAAUCGUGCCGCUUAACGGUGCGCGUGCAGUGGGUACGGGCAGACUGGAGUGCAGUAGGGGAGUCUGGAAUUCCUGGUGUAGCGGUGAAAUGCGCAGAUAUCAGGAGGAACACCGGUGGCGAAGGCGGGACUCUGGGCUGUUACUGACGCUGAGGAGCGAAAGCAUGGGGAGCGAACAGGAUUAGAUACCCUGGUAGUCCAUGCCGUAAACGUUGGGAACUAGGUGUGGGGUCCAUUCCACGGAUUCCGCGCCGUAGCUAACGCAUUAAGUUCCCCGCCUGGGGAGUACGGCCGCAAGGCUAAAACUCAAAGGAAUUGACGGGGGCCCGCACAAGCGGCGGAGCAUGCGGAUUAAUUCGAUGCAACGCGAAGAACCUUACCAAGGCUUGACAUGCACUGGAAUCGCCUAGAGAUAGGUGCGCCCUUUGGGGCUGGUGUACAGGUGGUGCAUGGUUGUCGUCAGCUCGUGUCGUGAGAUGUUGGGUUAAGUCCCGCAACGAGCGCAACCCUCGUUCUAUGUUGCCAGCACGUGAUGGUGGGAACUCAUAGGAGACUGCCGGGGUCAACUCGGAGGAAGGUGGGGAUGACGUCAAAUCAUCAUGCCCUUUAUGUCUUGGGCUUCACGCAUGCUACAAUGGUCGGUACAGAGGGUGGCGAUGCCGUGAGGUGGAGCGAAUCCCUUAAAGCCGGUCUCAGUUCGGAUCGUAGUCUGCAACUCGACUACGUGAAGUCGGAGUCGCUAGUAAUCGCAGAUCAGCAACGCUGCGGUGAAUACGUUCCCGGGCCUUGUACACACCGCCCGUCAAGUCACGAAAGUCGGUAACACCCGAAGCCGGUGGCCUAACCUGUGUGGGGGGAGCCGUCGAAGGUGGGACCGGUGAUUGGGACUAAGUCGUAACAAGGUAGCCGUACCGGAAGGUGCGGCUGGAUCACCUCCUUUCUAAGGA